This 876-nucleotide long non-coding RNA is filed under the name Oncorhynchus mykiss (rainbow trout). RNAcentral describes it as "lncRNA (ENSOMYG00000052801.1)". Lineage: Eukaryota; Metazoa; Chordata; Actinopteri; Salmoniformes; Salmonidae. The record is from RNAcentral.
CAAGCCUUGAGACAAUUGAAACAUGGAUUGUGUAUGUGUGCCAUUCAGAGGGUGAAUGGGCAUGACACAAAAUGUAAGUGUCAAGUGUUUUGUGUCAAGAACUGCAACGCUGCUCAAGUUUUUCAUGCUCAAUAGUUUCCCGUGUAGCUGCUCUGAGGACAAAAAGGCAAUUCAAUGUUAGGAAGGUGUUCCUAAUGUUUGUUAUACUCAGUGUAUAUCUAAUCUUUAGUCUUAGCUUUCUGUACAUUUCACCAAACAUUGGUUGGAAAUAUAAAUGUUUCCUCUACCAAUAACUAGAUGCAAAUUCCAAAACGGGUAUUACAAGGACAGCGGGUUUAGCCAAUCAGAAAGCGACUCUAUUUCCUGUGGGCGUGACUCUCGCUACAACGUAUUCUUGCCAAAAAAUCUGAGCCUUAGAUGUAAUCGCUUCCGCUGAUGCCGCCAUUUCAAAUCGAAAUACAGGGAUAGGGUAUAGAUAAUAUUUUUUUAAAUGUUUUAUUUGCAAAUCUUUUUAUAUUUUCUUUUUAUUUAGAGUAAGUAUCUAUAUUUAGUUGUAUUUCUGGACCUCAAUAGUCUUCUAAGAUGGAUGCAGAUACAGAGCAGGUGACGGACAACACAGAAACUUCCCAAAAUGCAUCUGAGGAGCCCAUAUCAGAAAACAAAUCCAGGGGUCGUGGUGGGUUCAAAGGGCGUGGCCAGGGGUUCCGGAUUGGUCGAGGAGGCAUGCAUGGUGGACGGGGCCUUAUGAUGAAAGGAUUUGGCCCACCCGAACGAGGCAGGGGGGAUAGAGGACGGGGUGGGGACAUGAAUGGGUUUGGACCCAUGAGGUAAGGAACUGAUGCUUCUUUAUGCAUGGGAUGGUAUCAGUGUUGUGUC